AUUGAACGCUGGCGGCAGGCCUAACACAUGCAAGUCGAGCGGUAGAGAGAAGCUUGCUUCUCUUGAGAGCGGCGGACGGGUGAGUAAUGCCUAGGAAUCUGCCUGGUAGUGGGGGAUAACGUUCGGAAACGGACGCUAAUACCGCAUACGUCCUACGGGAGAAAGCAGGGGACCUUCGGGCCUUGCGCUACCAGAUGAGCCUAGGUCGGAUUAGCUAGUUGGUGGGGUAAUGGCUCACCAAGGCGACGAUCCGUAACUGGUCUGAGAGGAUGAUCAGUCACACUGGAACUGAGACACGGUCCAGACUCCUACGGGAGGCAGCAGUGGGGAAUAUUGGACAAUGGGCGAAAGCCUGAUCCAGCCAUGCCGCGUGUGUGAAGAAGGUCUUCGGAUUGUAAAGCACUUUAAGUUGGGAGGAAGGGCAGUAAAUUAAUACUUUGCUGUUUUGACGUUACCGACAGAAUAAGCACCGGCUAACUCUGUG
RNAcentral lists this ribosomal RNA (484 nucleotides) under uncultured bacterium. RNAcentral's name for it is "partial 16S ribosomal RNA". It matches the Rfam family "Bacterial small subunit ribosomal RNA", at positions 30 to 507 of the family's 1533-position model. The record is from RNAcentral.